GACGAACGCUGGCGGCGUGCUUAACACAUGCAAGUCGAACGGAAAGGCCCUGCUUUUGUGUGUUGCUCGAUUGGCGAACGGGUGAGUAACACGUGAGUAACCUGCCCUUGACUUUGGGAUAACUUCAGGAAACUGGGGCUCAUACCGGAUAUGAUCUCCUGCUGCAUGUUGUGGGUUGGAAAGUUUCGGCGGUUGUGGAUGGUCUCGCUGCUUAUCAGCUUGUUGGUGGGGUAGUUGCUUACCAAGGCUUUGACGGGUAGCCGGCCUGAGAGGGUUACCGGGCACAUGGGGACUGAGAUACGGCCCAGACGCCUAAGGGAGGCAGAAGGGGGGAAUAUGGCAGAAUGGGCGGAAGCCUGAUGCAGCAACGCCGCGUGCGGGAUGACGGCCUUCGGGGUGUAAACAGCUGUCGACGGAGACGAAGAGUGAGUGACGGUAAUGGGUAAAGAAGCACCGGCUAACUACGUG
RNAcentral lists this ribosomal RNA (468 nucleotides) under uncultured bacterium. Its description in RNAcentral is "partial 16S ribosomal RNA". It matches the Rfam family "Bacterial small subunit ribosomal RNA", at positions 28 to 507 of the family's 1533-position model. The record is from RNAcentral.